Non-coding RNA from Acyrthosiphon pisum (pea aphid), 46 nucleotides. Lineage: Eukaryota; Metazoa; Arthropoda; Insecta; Hemiptera; Aphididae. The record is from Rfam.
AAAAAGGCCCUUUUCAGGGCCACCAUAUAUGUGUCAUAUGUCGCUA